RNAcentral lists this ribosomal RNA (402 nucleotides) under uncultured prokaryote. RNAcentral describes it as "bacterial SSU rRNA". It matches the Rfam family "Bacterial small subunit ribosomal RNA", at positions 355 to 774 of the family's 1533-position model. The record is from RNAcentral.
UGGGGAAUAUUGCACAAUGGACGAAAGUCUGAUGCAGCAACGCCGCGUGGAGGAUGACACAUUUCGGUGCGUAAACUCCUUUUAUAUGGGAAGAUAAUGACGGUACCAUAUGAAUAAGCACCGGCUAACUCCGUGCCAGCAGCCGCGGUAAUACGGAGGGUGCAAGCGUUACUCGGAAUCACUGGGCGUAAAGAGCGUGUAGGCGGGUAUAUAAGUCAGAAGUGAAAUCCAAUAGCUUAACUAUUGAACUGCUUUGGAAACUGUGUACCUAGAAUGUGGGAGAGGUAGAUUGAAUUUCUGGUGUAGGGGUAAAAUCCGUAGAGAUCAGGAGGAAUACCGAUUGCGAAGGCGAUCUACUGGAACAUUAUUGACGCUUAGACGCGAAAGCGUGUGGGGCAAACA